GAUGAACGCUGGCGGCGUGCCUAAUACAUGCAAGUCGAGCGAACAGACGAGGAGCUUGCUCCUCUUACGUUAGCGGCGGACGGGUGAGUAACACGUGGAUAACCUACCUAUAAGACUGGGAUAACUUCGGGAAACCGGAUCUAAUACCGGAUAAUAUAUUGAACCGCAUGGUUCAAUAGUGAAAGACGGUUUUGCUGUCACUUAUAGAUGGAUCCGCGCCGCAUUAGCUAGUUGGUAAGGUAACGGCUUACCAAGGCGACGAUGCGUAGCCGACCUGAGAGGGUGAUCGGCCACACUGGAACUGAGACACGGUCCAGACUCCUACGGGAGGCAGCAGUAGGGAAUCUUCCGCAAUGGGCGAAAGCCUGACGGAGCAACGCCGCGUGAGUGAUGAAGGUCUUCGGAUCGUAAAACUCUGUUAGUAGGGAAGAACAAAUGUGUAAGUAACUAUGCACGUCUUGACGGUACCUAAUCAGAAAGCAACGGCUAACUACGUG
RNAcentral lists this ribosomal RNA (497 nucleotides) under uncultured bacterium. RNAcentral describes it as "partial 16S ribosomal RNA". It matches the Rfam family "Bacterial small subunit ribosomal RNA", at positions 28 to 507 of the family's 1533-position model. The record is from RNAcentral.